RNAcentral lists this ribosomal RNA (460 nucleotides) under uncultured bacterium. RNAcentral's name for it is "partial 16S ribosomal RNA". It matches the Rfam family "Bacterial small subunit ribosomal RNA", at positions 338 to 795 of the family's 1533-position model. The record is from RNAcentral.
CCUACGGGAGGCAGCAGUGAGGAAUAUUGGUCAAUGGACGAGAGUCUGAACCAGCCAAGUCGCGUGAAGGAUUACUGCCCUAUGGGUUGUAAACUUCUUUUAUAUGGGAAUAAAACGUUCCACGUGUGGGAUGUUGUAUGUACCAUAUGAAUAAGGAUCGGCUAACUCCGUGCCAGCAGCCGCGGUAAUACGGAGGAUCCGAGCGUUAUCCGGAUUUAUUGGGUUUAAAGGGAGCGUAGGUGGGUUUUUAAGUCAGUUGUGAAAGUUUGCGGCUCAACCGUAAAAUUGCAGUUGAAACUGGCAGUCUUGAGUUCAGUAGAGGUGGGCGGAAUUCGUGGUGUAGCGGUGAAAUGCUUAGAUAUCACGAAGAACUCCGAUUGCGAAGGCAGUUCACUGGACUGCAACUGACACUGAGGCUCGAAAGUGUGGGUAUCAAACAGGAUUAGAUACCCCUGUAGUC